UACGGAGGGGGCGAGCGUUAUUCGGAAUUAUUGGGCGUAAAGGGCGCGUAGGCGGCCGGAUAAGUCAAAGGUGAAAUCCCUCGGCUCAACUGAGGAACUGCCUUUGAAACUGUUUGGCUCGAGUCCGGGAGGGGGUAGUGGAAUUCCACGUGUAGCGGUGAAAUGCGUAGAGAUGUGGAGGAACACCAGUGGCGAAGGCGACUCUUUGGUCUGUAACUGACGCUGAGGCGCGAAAGCGUGGGGAGCAAACAGG
RNAcentral lists this ribosomal RNA (253 nucleotides) under uncultured bacterium. Its description in RNAcentral is "partial 16S ribosomal RNA". It matches the Rfam family "Bacterial small subunit ribosomal RNA", at positions 524 to 776 of the family's 1533-position model. The record is from RNAcentral.